Molecule: ribosomal RNA, 492 nt
Filed under: uncultured bacterium
Lineage: Bacteria
Description: partial 16S ribosomal RNA
Rfam family: Bacterial small subunit ribosomal RNA
Source: RNAcentral
AGUGAACGCUGGCGGUAGGCCUAACACAUGCAAGUCGAACGGCAGCACAGUAAGAGCUUGCUCUUACGGGUGGCGAGUGGCGGACGGGUGAGGUAUACAUCGGAAUCUACUUUUUCGUGGGGGAUAACGUAGGGAAACUUACGCUAAUACCGCAUACGACCUACGGGUGAAAGCAGGGGAACUUCGCACCUUGCGCGAUUGAAUGAGCCGAUGUCGGAUUAGCUAGUUGGCGGGGUAAAGGCCCACCAAGGCGACGAUCCGUAGCUGGUCUGAGAGGAUGGUCAGCCACACUGGAACUGAGACACGGUCCAGACUCCUACGGGAGGCAGCAGUGGGGAAUAUUGGACAAUGGGCGCAAGCCUGAUCCAGCCAUACCGCGUGGGUGAAGAAGGCCUUCGGGUUGUAAAGCCCUUUUGUUGGGAAAGAAAAGCAGCAGGUUAAUACCCCGCUGUUCUGACGGUACCCAAAGAAUAAGCACCGGCUAACUUCGUG